RNAcentral lists this long non-coding RNA (246 nucleotides) under Otus sunia (Oriental scops-owl). RNAcentral describes it as "lncRNA (ENSOSUG00000000999.1)". Lineage: Eukaryota; Metazoa; Chordata; Aves; Strigiformes; Strigidae. The record is from RNAcentral.
UCCAUUGCUCAGAAAUUCUCAUCAGUGCUGAUAGCUUGCUGCAUCAGCGUCAACUUCCAAGAAACCUGAGCUUUGCUGUUGGGUGUACAUAACCCCUCCCGUGGUCCCAGCUGCAGGAGGAUCUGUUGGACACAGCCUUCCCCCAGUAUUUCUGCCCCACAGCAGAGACCUCGCUGACUUACAGAGAGUGCCUGACCUCUCCGGCGCUGGGCUGGCGCGGGCUGACGGAAGGACCGUGGGGCUGGC